This is a long non-coding RNA of Taeniopygia guttata (zebra finch), 1429 nucleotides long. RefSeq lists it as uncharacterized. NCBI's taxonomy places the organism in Eukaryota, Metazoa, Chordata, Aves, Passeriformes, Estrildidae. The record is from RefSeq and is a predicted model, not a curated record.
UUCAUCCUGGCUGUACUAUUGUGGUUCUUCUGCUAGACAAUCAUAUUUAUCUAUCCUUCCCAACACCCAAUAUCUCUGCAAGCCCCUCCAACACCACCCCAUAUCUUUGAGGACCCCGAGCAAAUGUCCUGAGCAUUCAGCGCUGCCCAAGUCAGAGGUUCUGGGUGCCACCCCAUCACUCAUUGCCACACAUUCAAGGUGGCCUGCCACCUCCCCAGGGGCCUCGUUGUCCUCAUUGUCACCCACCCAUGUUGUUCCACUGGUGCCAGCCCACAACCACACCCAUUAGCAGGACCAUGAAUAGGAGAGACCCACAGCGGGGUGGAGACAUGGCAUUCCCUGAGGACUCAUUAGAGAAACUGAGGGUCUGGGCUGGAAGGGAGAAGGGACAGGGCUGGUGGGGGUAGCCCUGCAGGGACAGCAACCCCAGGGGGAUUAGGUGAAGUUUCUCUCCCCAACAUUUUUCUGUUCCUGUCCCCCACAUCAACCCCACAACUCUGGUCACACUGGGGUCCAUGCCCUGCUGGCAUUGCAGAGGACCCCGCAGCCCCCCUGUAGCCCACUCCCCACUGGUCUCUGUCUCACCAGGGCCCAUCCCCAGGAUGUCAGGCCUGUGCCUGAGGCACUCACCCCACAGGAGCAGUGCCACCUCUCCAGCCAUCCCUUUGUCCCCAGCCAUGUGGACUGGCUGUCACUGGCUGCUGUGGCCACCCCUCUCCUGGCUGGUGGAUCUUUGGAUGAAGGGGAAGGAAGCGAGGUCACAUCUCGUCCCCAUGUGAAUCCAAUGGAGCACCUAAGCAGUGAACAGGGACUUUGAGAGCCACAAAACUACUGUAAAUCCCACAACACUCUGCUUAACGACCUGACCUGGACCCUCCUUCUCCUUCCUGCCUUGCUGUGGGUAGACAGUGGCCGGAUGCCCUGCACCCACCACAGCCACUUUCUCACUGCCCGCUUGUCCUGGCUUGUAAAAUAAGCAUGUAUUCUAUUUACCAUCUGUUGGAGGUUGGGCAGUUUUCUUACCUCUUCCAAGAACAAUGUCUCCCUCUGGGAAAAAUCUUCUGUUAAUGGGCCAUGGAAUGACUCACUGCAUGACUGAUAAAGUCACAUCAUCACAUUGUGAGAUGGUCCACCCAGAGGGAGGAGCCAAGCACCCCCACCUGGAUAAAAUCAGCAUUUUUUAGGACAUCAGAGCAGCCUCUUCGCUGGAUUCCCAGAGGAGCAGCUUAUUCUCUGCUGCAUUCCCAGAGGAGCAGCUUCUUCCCUGCUGGAUCCCCAGGGGAAGACCAGGCCCCUCUACUCUAUCACUAGACCUUCAGAGAAAACUACACUCUUCUACAGAUCAUCACUUCAGCAGCAUUUCAUCUGCCACUCCAGGGCGAGCAGCCACCAUUUAACUGGACUAUUACCAACACCCUGACUCCUCAGG